AAGAACACUGUAAUUAGAGACUGCCGCAGGGUGUGUCAUAAUUGUUUACGCUGUUUAUGAAAAUUACCAAUGUGAAAGACCAGCAGAAACAUAUAGCUCAACCUAGUUUAAGAUGAGACCAUUCCUAUUGGGACCAGGUAAUUCCAUUUAGAAAGACAGAUUAUUAGACUUGGAAGGGACUAGUGAUUCUAGCCCAUCGCCUCUGUUUUUAUGGAUGAAGCCAUAGGCCCAGAGAGGCAGAGUAACUUACUCAGGGUUACACAGCUUGUUACAGCUAGUUAGUUCGAGAGUUCGGACCUGAAUCUUAGCCUUCAGCUACGUGGUGGUUAUCCUUUUCUAUACCAUAGUUAGCUUCUUUCAGGAGUGCUCAAGAUUACUCUAAAAAAAGAUUCUUAAGUCAAAACAAGACAAAGGAACCUCCAAGAUCCCUCAGAACUUGCUCAUACUGAAGCCUCUUAAGGAAUCUCCCAUGCAAAAACCUUAAUUUACUAUACAGAUCAAUUAGGGUGUAAUUUGUAAUUAUUCAUAAUACAAAAUAAUUAUCUGAUUUACAAAGGACUCCUCUAAAUAGUAGCUCUUUAUUUGUGCUUUACAGAUGCUAACUCAUUAACAUACUGGCUAGGCUGGGUGGUAGAGAGAACUAAGUAAAAGGUUAGGAGACACUACCUGUUGAAGAUCAUUUAGAAUGGAGAUAAGAGGGUAUGAAAUAAUGUUUGUCAAAGAAAGAUUAUCUGAUUUAUAGAGAGAUACCAGUCCACAUGGCAAGGAAUUGUGGCUGCAUCUGCCCACAGCCAUGUGAACAAGCCAUUAUGAAGCGAGUCCUCCAGCCCCAGUCAAACCUUCAGAUAAUGGCAGCCCCAGUCUAAGUCUUGACUGCAACCUCCUGAAAGACUCUGGGCCAGAGCCACCAGUGAGACAAUAAAUGCUGAUUUAAACUGCUAAAUGUUGGGGUAAUUUGUUAGGCAGUAAUAGAUAACUAAUACAAUCCUCCUUCACAUUUGCAGUUUGCCUAUGUGAUAACUUAGGUCUUCACGAUGGCCCAGAGUAAGACGACGCAGGAGGACCCUUCUAGUCAUUUAAUUAUUGCUUGACCAGAACUGUGCCUUGUAAGAAAUGCUUGCUGUUUGGAAACUUGUGAAGACCUGCAUCCCUUUGUAUCUCAAAUAAAGACAGAGGGUUGAAGAUAGCAAGUGCAUCUCUGGGCAACUACUGCAGCUGGCUGUGGGGGACUGAUGCAUACUGUUGAGGCUGAUCUUACUCUGUCUCCUCUCUAUGUUGGACAACAUCAUUGUCACUAUCAACAUGACUUUGUCCCUUCUUGCUGUCUCCCUUUUAUCCCUCCAAAUGCUCAAUCGAAAUACCUGAACUACCCGAAAGUUAAAUGCACCACUGCAUCUAUUCAGGUUCAAGAACAGUAUUUCA
This 1422-nucleotide long non-coding RNA is filed under the name Homo sapiens (human). Its description in RNAcentral is "HSALNT0369090". Lineage: Eukaryota; Metazoa; Chordata; Mammalia; Primates; Hominidae. The record is from RNAcentral.